UAGGCGUAAAUGAUGCGAGUUAAGUGUGGGGGCAUCUACGAGAUGGCCCUGUGCUGUAGGGUAGCCGUUAAACUCGCUGCCUGGGGAGUACGGUCGCAAGGCUGAAACUUAAAGGAAUUGGGCGGGGGAGCACCACAAGGGGUGAAGCUUGCGGUUUAAUUGGAGUCAACGCCGGAAAUCUCACCGGGAGCGACAGCAGUGUGAUAGCCAGGUUGAUGACCUUGCUUGACAAGCUGAGAGGAGGUGCAUGGCGUAGUCGUGU
RNAcentral lists this ribosomal RNA (262 nucleotides) under uncultured archaeon. Its description in RNAcentral is "partial 16S ribosomal RNA". It matches the Rfam family "Archaeal small subunit ribosomal RNA", at positions 748 to 1009 of the family's 1478-position model. The record is from RNAcentral.